GAACGCUAUCGGUAUGCUUAACACAUGCAAGUCGGACGGACCAAUUGGGGCUUGCCCCAAUUAGUUAGUGGCAGACGGGUGAGUAACACGUGGGAAUCUGCCCAUCAGUACGGAAUAACUUUUAGAAAUAAAAGCUAAUACCGUAUAUUCUCUACGGAGGAAAGAUUUAUCGCUGAUGGAUGAGCCCGCGCCAGAUUAGGUAGUUGGUGAGGUAACGGCUCACCAAGCCGACGAUCUGUAGCUGGUCUGAGAGGAUGAUCAGCCACACUGGGACUGAGACACGGCCCAGACUCCUACGGGAGGCAGCAGUGGGGAAUAUUGGACAAUGGGCGAAAGCCUGAUCCAGCAAUACCGAGUGAGUGAUGAAGGCCUUAGGGUUGUAAAGCUCUUUUAGCAAGGAAG
RNAcentral lists this ribosomal RNA (402 nucleotides) under Rickettsia senegalensis. RNAcentral's name for it is "Candidatus Rickettsia senegalensis bacterial SSU rRNA". It matches the Rfam family "Bacterial small subunit ribosomal RNA", at positions 31 to 447 of the family's 1533-position model. Lineage: Bacteria; Pseudomonadati; Pseudomonadota; Alphaproteobacteria; Rickettsiales; Rickettsiaceae. The record is from RNAcentral.